GGAGCCAGCAGACUACUGGUGUGUGUAAUCCAGAGCGCCUGGGCAUUAAGGCUGGUCAGUCAGGCUUGUGCACACAAUUGGUAGCAUGUCAAAUGGUGCGAUAAGUUCUUUUUUCAAGCAAUUUCUUAGAACUGAGACUACAUGGUACUUUUUUUUUCUAAGCAAUGUCAUUCACACUCAUUGGCCUAUGGUGCAUUUGAUUACUGGCCACUGAGCAGCUCACCUGCUGUAACUGGGAAAUAAGAGUCUUGCUCAAGGAUGCAUUCAUAAGUAUCUACCUCGGAGAUGGAACAGUUUUUUUUUAGCAGGUCUGGGAUUUUAAACAGUAACUCAUCACAAACUAAGAACUACUUAAAGGGGAAUGAAACACCAGCUAUACUGAAAGUAUAGUUCAGUUUUUUUUUUUUUUUUUAAAAAACUAAUAAAAAACAUUAAUAUCGGGUCUUAAUUAAAUUAAAAACAGUCCAAAAUAGAAUUUUAAUCAUGUUGGCUACAUAGAAAUUCAUACAGCAGAGGAACGUUGCUUUGAUUCAUUGCUUUGAUUCUUCUGGGACGACUGUGGCUCAGGGGGUUGGGAAUCACAUCUGUAACCGGAAGGUCGCUGGUUCGAUCCCUGGGCUCUCUGUCCUGGUUGUUGUGUCCUUGGGCAAGACACUUUACCCUACUUGCCUACUGGUGUUGGCCAGAGGGGCUGAUGGCGCGAUAUGGCAGCCUCGCUUCUGUCAGUCUGCCCCAGGGCAGCUGUGGCUACAACCGUAGCUGCCUCCACCAGUGUAUGAAUGUGAGAGUGAAUGAAUAGUGGUAUUGUAAAGCGCUUUGGGUGCCUUGAAAAGUGCUGUAUAAAUCCAAUCUAUUAUUAUUAUUCUGUUUCACCUCUUCUCGUGUAUUCCUUGCGCCUAUAUACCUGCACCUAGCUACUCUGGGUCAGGAGGGCCUGGGGUGGCACUCCCAACAAUACCAAUAACCAGCUGGUUCUCAAUCCUUCAUCUUCCAACCUAUUAAAAAAAUUUUAAGAAAAAAAAAAACACCUCUGUACUACAGCAAAUACCAGCUGGAUCCCUCCUUGUGUAAUGUAUGGUAACACACUUAAAAUUGAGUUCAUGUUAUAAUGGGAUUGAUUUGAUCUGACCUUUCUUUUGGGGAACUAAAAUGCAUCACAAUGGUCCUGCAUUUUGGUUAUCACAUCAUGACUGAUAAAAAAGCAAGGAAACAACAAGCAGAAAUGAUACUUCUGGGAAGUAAAAAGCUGAUUCAUUCAUUGUUUUAUCUCCACAUUAUCCACAUGUCCGUCACCAUCUGUGUAACGCUUCUCUGGCAUCAGUAUGGGUGCUUUUCAUCAGCUGUGUUUAGUCACAGACCAAGGAGCAGUCGUUUAAAACUAACAGAUGAACCGAGAGUUCAGGGACGCUUCUAUGAGACGAUGAUAAAAGAUAUUUCAAAAUGAAUAUUCGCAGUUGUUGAGUGUAUUGCCCAAAGGUUAGUCAACAAGGAAGUGUUGUUAACAAGAGUCUGUGGGACUUGGGUUGAGGUCAGGGACAAGCUUGACUCAUCUCAGCUGCCGCGUGAGGAAGGAAGGCCACAGUGUGUUUGUUAACUAGAAUUGUACUUCCUAAUCUGCUUUUUUCCAGUAGUUGGAUACAGUCUGUGCACAUCUAUACAAACAGAUGUUAACAGCAGUUAUGCUUCUUUCAGUAAAAUUCAGAAUAACUUUGCCUUCUCUCAGCUGGGGUGUAUUCCAGGGGUAAAUGCGCCUUGAACUUUGCCCUUUAGCACUUUUUGUUACUGGUACUUUACUGAAAAUCUGAGCUUAUUUUAC
Long non-coding RNA from Astatotilapia calliptera (eastern happy), 1816 nucleotides. NCBI's taxonomy places the organism in Eukaryota, Metazoa, Chordata, Actinopteri, Cichliformes, Cichlidae. The record is from Ensembl.